Long non-coding RNA from Pocillopora damicornis (cauliflower coral), 166 nucleotides. The record is from RefSeq and is a predicted model, not a curated record. Lineage: Eukaryota; Metazoa; Cnidaria; Anthozoa; Scleractinia; Pocilloporidae.
GGGAUGGCACUGUAUUAGAAACAAGACAUAGUUCAAGGAAACAGAUUCAGUCAAUUCAGAUGUGAAAGACCUCAAGAUCAUAUGAAGCAAGAUUCAAGAAACGAUGAUGUUAGAGGAUUUAAGGAGUCUGUUGACUGAAAUAAAGCUGAUCAAAAAUUACGUUUAA